AGCAGCCGCGGUAAUUCCAGCUCCAAUAGCGUAUAUUAAAGUUGUUGCAGUUAAAAAGCUCGUAGUUGAAUUUUUGAUUCUUCCAAUUGGUCCAUCUUUUAGAUGAGUACUGGUUGUGUGGGGUCUAUCCGCCUGGUGAUACGUAAUGUCCUUUAUUGGAUGUUGCGGGUAGUCAGGACCUUUACCUUGAAAAAUUGAGUGUUUAAAGCAGGCUUAUGCCGGAAUACAUUAGCAUGGAAUAAUAGAAUAGGACGAAGUUGUUUUAUUUUGUUGGUUUCUAGGACAACCGUAAUGAUUAAUAGGGAUAGUUGGGGGCAUUAGUAUUCAAUUGUCAGAGGUGAAAUUCUUGGAUUUAUUGAAGACUAACUACUGCGAAAGCAUUUGCCAAGGAUGUUUUCAUUAAUCAAGAACGAAAGUUAGGGGAUCGAAGACGAUCAGAUACCGUCGUAG
RNAcentral lists this ribosomal RNA (450 nucleotides) under uncultured Archaeospora. RNAcentral's name for it is "SSU rRNA". It matches the Rfam family "Eukaryotic small subunit ribosomal RNA", at positions 569 to 1023 of the family's 1831-position model. The record is from RNAcentral. Lineage: Eukaryota; Fungi; Glomeromycota; Glomeromycetes; Archaeosporales; Archaeosporaceae.